CGGGAAUUCGAUUCAGGCCUAACACAUGCAAGUCGAGCGGUAGAGAGAAGCUUGCUUCUCUUGAGAGCGGCGGACGGGUGAGUAAUGCCUAGGAAUCUGCCUGGUAGUGGGGGAUAACGUUCGGAAACGGACGCUAAUACCGCAUACGUCCUACGGGAGAAAGCAGGGGACCUUCGGGCCUUGCGCUAUCAGAUGAGCCUAGGUCGGAUUAGCUAGUUGGUGAGGUAAUGGCUCACCAAGGCUACGAUCCGUAACUGGUCUGAGAGGAUGAUCAGUCACACUGGAAGGGAGACACGGUCCAGACUCCUACGGGAGGCAGCAGUGGGGAAUAUUGGACAAUGGGCGAAAGCCUGG
RNAcentral lists this ribosomal RNA (354 nucleotides) under uncultured bacterium. RNAcentral's name for it is "bacterial SSU rRNA". It matches the Rfam family "Bacterial small subunit ribosomal RNA", at positions 43 to 386 of the family's 1533-position model. The record is from RNAcentral.